Long non-coding RNA from Symphalangus syndactylus (siamang), 663 nucleotides. RefSeq lists it as uncharacterized. Lineage: Eukaryota; Metazoa; Chordata; Mammalia; Primates; Hylobatidae. The record is from RefSeq and is a predicted model, not a curated record.
GCUGUCUGCCCAUCUUUUCUGACCCUGGGACACCAUCCUUUAUUAACCUUCCCCACAACUCCUUGAAGGUCAAGCCCCCUUGGCUGAUACUCUGGGUUGUCACAGUAAAUGUGCCCUCUAUCUUUUGCAGGUCACUGAAAAGGAGGGUUCCUAAAGCAUUCACUCUUGACCCUGAAGGAGGUCUUGGUGGGACAAGGUUCUACUGAAGGGCCAAAGACAAUGGAGCAGCAAAGAUGACCCAGCCAAGCAGUGACCACAUAAAGCCCAUGGUGGCUGGAACAGAAACUGGGCACAGCCCCAUCUACUCUCUUCCCCUGCAACAAAUCAGCAUAAGAAACAUGUGGACUCUGGAAGGUUCUCAUGUGUUCCAUUUAUUUUGUCUCUCAAAUUUUAGGAAUAUUCUCCUUUAAUUAACUAAUCAACCUCUCAUGGCAAGAAUUUGAGAAAGUAAAUUUAUACUCAGGUUCUAAUUUUAAUAGGGAAGGAAGAAGUUACAGCUCAGCGCACCAUGAAGUUGAGACAGAGAUGGAGACACCUCAGCCCCACCUCUCUGGAACAGGAAAGAUGAUUGGGGAGGGAGCACAGGUCAGCAUGGGGAAGCGGAUCAUGGUGGACACGGGGGUGGGGUGGUCUCCCCAUCUCCUCACACUAUGCCUACAGGAA